UCGGGAUUAUCUUCCUAAGUCUCAAUCUACGAAUUUCCUGGAAAGAUUGAUGAUCCUGGACGGACAUGGCCCAGCAGCGGUUUUGGAAGAGCGCAGUUGGACGGUGUUGCUUAAGCACGGAGGAGUUAACUUUCCGGUGACGGUUCUCAUGAACCCGAACGAUUCGUCGAGAAUCUCGACCGGCUCGACGAUUUAGAGGCCGGAAGUGAUUCCAGCCCAAGCUUGUGGGAGAUCAUGUGGCGGUGAUUUCCUUCGAUUUGUAAUGCAACUUCCUCCCUCUUCUAUUCCUAACGGAUUAAUGAUGCACAAGGAAAGGCUUCCGAUGCAGGCGCCAGCGGUGACGACGCCAAGUCUAAUUCUUCCCAGAGCUGACCUUAUUGUAGAAUAUGCUAAUCCAAAAACCAAACUGACCAUAACAUCUGCAUCUGAUUUCCUUAAGCAAAAGCAACUUCCGGUGAGCUUAAGCUCCGAAAGCCUUGCGUUGACUUGACCUGAUUUCUAACAAAUAAUUCACUCUUUCGAUGUCAGACAAUCUACAUUUCAGUCGACGAAAAUCCAUGGCAAGGGAUUGCCGGUCCUCUGGCGUAAACAUUGUGGCUUUCGAGAUGCUUUACGAGGCGGGUCACAUGAUCACAGGCUAAGUGGACUUCUAACGAGUAAGUUUCAGUUUUAAAGUACAUCAAUAGUCUUAAAA
Culex quinquefasciatus (southern house mosquito) is the source of this 694-nucleotide long non-coding RNA. RefSeq lists it as uncharacterized. The record is from RefSeq and is a predicted model, not a curated record. Lineage: Eukaryota; Metazoa; Arthropoda; Insecta; Diptera; Culicidae. The transcript has 4 exons.